CUAUGCUGUCAACGUCAUGGCAAAAGGAG
RNAcentral lists this non-coding RNA (29 nucleotides) under unclassified sequences. The record is from RNAcentral.